Molecule: ribosomal RNA, 497 nt
Filed under: uncultured bacterium
Lineage: Bacteria
Description: partial 16S ribosomal RNA
Rfam family: Bacterial small subunit ribosomal RNA
Source: RNAcentral
GAUGAACGCUGGCGGCGUGCCUAAUACAUGCAAGUCGAGCGAACAGAUGAGGAGCUUGCUCCUCUGACGUUAGCGGCGGACGGGUGAGUAACACGUGGAUAACCUACCUAUAAGACUGGGAUAACUUCGGGAAACCGGAUCUAAUACCGGAUAAUAUAUUGAACCGCAUGGUUCAAUAGUGAAAGACGGUUUUGCUGUCACUUAUAGAUGGAUCCGCGCCGCAUUAGCUAGUUGGUAAGGUAACGGCUUACCAAGGCAACGAUGCGUAGCCGACCUGAGAGGGUGAUCGGCCACACUGGAACUGAGACACGGUCCAGACUCCUACGGGAGGCAGCAGUAGGGAAUCUUCCGCAAUGGGCGAAAGCCUGACGGAGCAACGCCGCGUGAGUGAUGAAGGUCUUCGGAUCGUAAAACUCUGUUAUUAGGGAAGAACAAAUGUGUAAGUAACUAUGCACGUCAUGACGGUACCGAAUCAGAAAGCCACGGCUAACUACGUG